AACCCACCAUGGAUGAUGCGAAUUGGUCAGCAGGAAGCUCCAUGAUGAACUUGAACCUUGAUGCAUAUGACAUAUUCCUUGAUGGGGGUUCGACUGAUAGUAAUGGAGAUGAACUUGCAACUAAUGAUCUUGAGACACUCGCAUUUCUUGAGAGGGCCGGUAGACAAGCGCAAUAGAAUCUUAGACGACCACAACAUAAUAUCAUCCUAUGGGGACAUCAAUAUAUUUUGGAAGUUUUGAAUGGGAAUCCGAGGAAUUCUCGCGAGUUAUUCCGAAUGGAGGUUGAUGCCUUCCGCACAUUAUGCAGCUUGUUACGUUCAAAUAGAUUUCUGAAGGAUACGAGAAAAGGGAUGACCGUCGAGGAACAAUUAGGCAUGUUUACAUCGGUAGUGGCGGCUGGAGAUGAACAACGGAAACUAUUAACUCUCAUGUAAGGAAAGUUAUGCAAGCCCUAUGUAGGCUUGGGACACAUCUUAUUUACCCAACUCACACAUCCGAGGUGCACCCAACAAUUGCAGGCAAUCCGAGAAAUUAUCCUUGGUUUGAGGAUGCAUUGGUGCAAUUGAUGGGACCAUGAUUGACGCCAUUGUACCUGCAGAGGUGUGCGAGGCAUAUCGCAACUAGCAUGAGAGAGUUGCCCAAAACUACUUGUGUGUAUGUGACUUGGACAUGAAGUUCACAUUCUUGUACACUGGUUGGGAGGGAAGUUCCCAUGAUGCACGCGUAUUCAUCGAUGCAUUGAGUCAGGGCCGUAAUCAAUUUCCAAUGCCUCUUGAUGGAUUUAUUAAAGUGCUAAAGGAACCAAGGGUUGAGCUUGGAGGUAAUGAUGUGAACGAAGCUAUGGAGCAAGGCACUACUCGGGGAGGGGAGAUAGAUGCCUAGUGGCAGCCUAGGGUUGGGUCAUACUAUGAAGUUGGGUUAUUUUGGUUGUUUUGUAAAAAUGGUUGGGGCAUGUAUUUUGAGAUGCAGUAUUUUGGGAACUGGGUAGAUGUUUCUACCG
Long non-coding RNA from Juglans regia (Persian walnut), 1000 nucleotides. RefSeq lists it as uncharacterized. NCBI's taxonomy places the organism in Eukaryota, Viridiplantae, Streptophyta, Magnoliopsida, Fagales, Juglandaceae. The record is from RefSeq and is a predicted model, not a curated record. The transcript has 4 exons.